GCCAAAACCCUAGUCCUUUUAACAUCACAAACAUCCAAACAAAACAAAACAAAACAUUUGACACGGUUAGUAGAGGAGAUCGAAAGCCCAAUAAGCACAACAGAAAAAGUACCGCAAGGGAACGGUUAAAGCAAAGAAAAGCAAAGAAAAGCAAAGACACAACCUUGUACCUUUCGCAUCAUGGUCUAGCAAGCAAAACGCAAGCAAACAGACACUUGCCACCCCGAAACCUGGUGAGCUACUUCCUAGCAGUCAAUCGGACUAAACCACCCCCUCUGUAGCAAAAGAGGAAUGGAGACUAUCAAGUAGAGGUGAAAAGCCUAUCGAACCGGGUAAUAGCUGGUUGCCAAAAAAUGAACCUAAGUUCAAUCUUAACAGACAAUUCAGCUGUAGUAUGAAAGUUAAGAAAAAUCAUUAGGGGUACAGCUCUAAUGAAACGGGAUACAACCCAAAUUUGAGAGGAAACAAACCAACGACACCAGUAGGCCUUAAAGCAGCCCCCUAUAAAAACAGCGUCAAAGCAACAAAACAAAAAAUCCAACAAAAACCACACACCUCCAAAACAAACUAACGCAACUCUAUACUAAUAGAAGAUAUAAUGCUAGAACUAAUAAUAAGAACCAAUCUCAAGACAUGUUCGUCAGUCAGAAAUAGACACACUACUGAUAGUUAUCAGGCACGAGUAGGCAAACACAUUCUCAGACCUACAUCACACUGUGACCCCAACACAGGCAUGUCACAAAUGAAAGAUAAAAAGCUAUAAAAGGAACUCGGCAAUCAACGAUCUCAACUGUUUACCAAAAACAUAGCCUUUAGCAAAACAAGUAUUAAAGGUGAUGCCUGCCCAGUGAAGUUUUUUAACGGCCGCGGUACCCUAACCGUGCAAAGGUAGCAUAAUCACUUGUCCACUAAUUAUGGACUGGCAUGAAAGGCCACAUGAAGAUCAAACUGUCUCUUAUAGCCAAUCAAUGAAACUGAUCUUACAGUCCAAAAGCUGUAAUACGCCCAUAAGACGAGAAGACCCUGUGAAACUUCAAAAACUUCUAUACAACACCACUAUAGAAUAUUUUCAGUUGGGGCGACUUUGGAAAAAACAAAACUUCCAAACAAACAUGGUGCACCACCACAUACAGGCAAACACGCCUAUCAUACGAUCCAGUAAAUCUGACAAAUGAACCAAGCUACUCCAGGGAUAACAGCGCUAUCUUCUUCAAGAGCCCAUAUCAAAAAGAAGGCUUACGACCUCGAUGUUGGAUCAGGGCACCCAAGUGGCGCAGCCGCUACUAAAGGUUCGUUUGUUCAACGAUUAACAGC
Molecule: ribosomal RNA, 1314 nt
Filed under: Tetracheilostoma breuili
Lineage: Eukaryota; Metazoa; Chordata; Lepidosauria; Squamata; Leptotyphlopidae
Description: partial 16S ribosomal RNA
Rfam family: Bacterial large subunit ribosomal RNA
Source: RNAcentral